Molecule: unclassified non-coding RNA, 4936 nt
Filed under: Melitaea cinxia (Glanville fritillary)
Lineage: Eukaryota; Metazoa; Arthropoda; Insecta; Lepidoptera; Nymphalidae
Description: misc RNA ENSMCXG00005000502.1
Source: RNAcentral
GGGCUGGGCCUGUACGCGCCGCGCCCGCCGCCGCGCGCGCCGCACAGGUGGAACGCUCCAUUCCCAACGCUAGAGGAAGAAUUUAAUAUAAUGACUGCACCUACGGGACCUGACCACGUCGUACUUUUAGACGAUGAACGAUUCUUCCAAUCCAACGUGAUAACGUCUGAUGCGACCGCCAUGGACACGGGCGCGAGCGUUGGACAGGCGGUGGGCGUUGAAACGACUGAAGACAUCGCGCCCGACAAGCCGGCACCUGACUUGCGCUCGCCGUGACCACCCGCGUCCACGUCCGGCGAGCCCGAUGGUGCGGACGCGACUGUGCUCCGGUGGACUCCCGCGCCGUUGCCUCACUGGCGCCCAGUGACGCAUCGGACUGUUUGAAUUGCGUUCGAAAUUCAAAUGUUCAUUCUUUUCGUUUGACAAUAAUUUUCUACGUCCAGCGCUGGCUGAUUAUAAAUUUGAAAGUGGAACGAGGCUAGUGUAAAUAUGGCGUCGGCGAAGGUUGUAGUCGAAUUUUGAAAUCGCAUUCUAUCGGCUGUCGGUGUUCAGCGCGGUGACGUUGUAGCGACGUCCCGCGUGACGGAUACCACGGCCGAUGUGAGUUUUAUUUGUUCAUAGGUGAUGCGUGAAGCAAUACUCCAAUGAUAAAUAUGUAAAAAAUAUGAUGUUACGGAAAAUAAAAACAACAUAUUAUAUUCUAAUAUUUUUAUAGAAUAUAAAUCGAGUAUGAUAUGAUCAAGCCUUCCAGUAAUUUAGUGAAAUAAAAAAAAUAUUAAUGAUAAUUCAGCUUAUAAAUUAUUAUUUUGCUGACCUAUAAGGCAGUUAGAAGCGAUACGAAACCAUAUGCUUCCAAUACUAGCGUCAGAACAGGUUUCGAUUGACGAAAGUGUGAUAUUAUAAGUUGUUUUUUGUUUCGUUGUUGUGCGUUUUGUAUUGAAAAUAAAAUAAAUAGAAUAAGCGUAUAUAGUUUACAGAGAUUUUUUUAACUUAUUUAACGAAUAUAUAAGAAAGACGAGCCUUGCUUAUGAGAUUAGUUUAGUUGUAUAAUUAGAAGCCAAGUGCUGAUCAAUUUUAUUGUUGCGCUUUCGAUACGAAAUUUCAAUAAAACAUUUAAAUAAAUGGGUUAAAACUAGGUACGAAAGAAAGUUAUACGAGUAUAUUAUUAGAACUCAUCUUAUUUUACGGUUUAUAUUUAUACGUAACGGUUAAUAAUAAUUAAUUAGUUACAGCGAUGAUUGAUCAUUAAAAUUUGUAUAAAAGUUAAAGUGAUAAGGUCGCCUUAUGUUGUCAAUUAUGAAAGUUCGAAUCGAAAGGCAAUAAUAGUUGAAGUUUGUAGUUCGACAGUUGUCGAGAACAUUUUAUAGGUGCCUUUUAUAAAAAAAAAAACGUAUAUAACGACAUAGGAACUUUUAAAUUGUACUUUUUUUUUAUUAAUCCACCCACUUAUACCUACCGUGGACUCAUUCUUAACGUAUUUUGUAGCCAAAGAGUACCAAAGUAAUGACAGUAUACUUUUUGGUUCCAAAAUAUUAAAUUUUAUUUCUUUCAUUACACAUUAUUUAGCAAUCCGUGGCCAUACGUGAAAAGCUAGUCAUUAGAGUAACAAUGUAAAUUUAUUGUACUUAAAAAUAAAGAAUAUUUACAUUUAAUAUAACCCCUUACGUUUAUUAGUAAGGGUUGAAAAACUAAAUUUGUGGCCAAAUUACACUUAAUGAGAUCCAAAUAUAUAUACACGAUUUUUUAAUAGAUUUAGAAUUAUAAGUGUGGCAUGAUUAAGUUGAGUUUUGUAUUUUAAGUUACAAGUUUACGAUCGAAUGUACUUAAGUAAUAUAUUUGAUUGAUUCUUCUGCAAGAUAAAACAAAAUAAGACUAACUUGUACCAUCUGUAAGCUAUUUUGUUUUUGCAGAAGAAUAUUUAAAGCAUAAUAAAACAAAUCGACAUCAUUUCAAUGUUAUAUCGUAUGGUCUUUUGACGUUUUAAAUUUUUUUUCCUCAAUCUUUACGUGCCAUUGUUUUAGGUCAAAAAGCCAUUUGUUUAUUUAUUUCCGUUGCACUAUCGAUAAAAAAUAUGUAUGUAGGGAAUAGUAUAGGAAACGUAGCAAUAAAUGACAAGCAAUAAAUUAAAAAAAAGUAAUAUUAUAAUAAAUACAGCUUUAGUGAAGCUAGAGAUUGGUACUGAUCUAGAAUCCAGUUAUCGUAAAACUUGCGAUAUUUUUUUCUAUAGAUAAUAUGCCGAAGAACUGAGUUCUCGAUACACUAAAGCCGCGUUCCUAUAUUCAGAAAACGAUUUGUUUUGCUCACUAAAUUUCGAAUAUAACAUAUUCGUAUUUUUUAAAUUUCGAAUGCGAGAUGCUCGAAUUAUUUAAAUUUAGAACACUAAAUGUUCGAAAGUUUACGGUUAGCGAACAAAACGAAUCGUUUCUAAAUAUAGGAACCGGCAUAGUAAACUUUGAAGCGGUCUGGUACAAUACUUAGCUAUUUCACAGAAAAAAGUAAAUAUAGAUAUAUAAAUAUGCAAAUAUAGUACGACUAGGCGGACGGCGGAAAUUAGUCAAUUGCUAGCUAUAGACAUUAGAGGAUAUAGUACAGACAAAUUAAAUAGUAAACGACACUUAAGGCUUUUGAAUACAUUGGGACGACCGACACGAUUACGUCGUAUUAUAACCGACAAAUGGUGAUGAAUUUAAAAGCUAAUUGGUGCAGAAAAUUCUAGACUGUGAUUAAAUUGUUCAUUCUGGACGUGUCUUAUAUUGAAAUAGUUUUGUAUGAUUGGCGGUAAACGAUCGAGAACGGAGACGUUGUUGAAGACAUGUUGUAUGAAAUGCAUUUGUUAUGACAAACUUAGACAAGUUUAAACAUAAAGAUAUGUAAAAGGUUUUUUAUUGACAGCGUCAGUAGACUCAGUAGUGUUUUUUAUUAAUAGCUUUGCAAUAGAUGAUGUGCUUGCGACAGAAACGCGAUCUAACUGCCGCGAGCGAUUAUUCGGAGCGAUUAUCGCGCAUCUGUCGCGACAUAUUUUUGAUUUGACGUUCGUUUAGCACCAUUGUUACGAUAUGGAAUAAUAAUUGAAAGCCUAAACAUUAUGUGCCUUAGAUACAACAAUAUUGUAUAUUUAUGAUGCGUUCUAUACAACGUGCUAACUAGAAAUAAAUAAUUAUUGUUAUUUUUAAAUAAAAAGCCUCGUCCUUUAACUUCGUUGUUAGAAUUGUUUUACGCGAAGGCUUGUCUAUGGAUCUCCUAUUAUUAUUUUUUCGUCCCAAACAUGGCUAAUUUAAAAAAAAAUCUACCUAAAAAGGUAUUCGUCUUGUUUCUAUCCUUCCGUAUCCCGUCGGUAUCUACUCGUAUACUUCCAAAUUGAUCCGAACCGGGUAUUCGGGACCGGAUAUCCGGUUUAUUGAUUUCGAUUUUCGAAACCAGAUUAUAACUUUUAAUCCUCAUCUAAUAAUUAUUGUACGAUUAAGUAAAGCUUCUACGCGUAGUUUCGCUGGUAUAUAAAAUACUUCUAAUAUAUUACAUAUAAUUUUAGUACUUACAUACAUUAUACCUACUUACGUACCAUUAUGUAAUUUACUGUCAUGUAUAUCUUACUCUACGCGAAGCUUAGGCUCGCUGUUGAUUUGUGAGAAAGUAGCUGAACCUUCAAUUCUGGCGUCGCUUCUUAUCGUUAAUAAUCGACCGCAUUAUGUCAUUUUGUAAUUUAUUUUCAUCCUAAUUAUAUUUAUAUAUAAAUGUAUGAUGUAACUAAAAUCCGUCUUAACUAAGUUUCUUUGGAUUACUUAAUUGAAAUAACAUACGGAACUAAAUUGUAAUUGUAAAGAUAAAUUAUUAAUCAAUAGAAAAUUUAACUCAUAGUUACGAUUUAUUUAGUUCGUCGGAAGCGAUUUUCGAUUUUUUUUUAUUAAAUUAAUUUAGCGAAUUUAUUAAUUAAUUUUUUAGUAACGAUUGUGUCCAUGACCAUGAUUGUCUGUAAAUAUCUUCCGAAGUGUAAUUUAUAUAAUUUUUCUAUUUGUACAAUUAAGCUGUAGUGAACAAUUAAGAGUUACAAUGUCCUCGAAUUAUUUUACAAUUUUUGUCUAGUUUUUUUUAUGUUUUUUUUUGUUUUUGUUUAAAAUGUCAUGUAAAUCAAAUGACACGGCGCUUGUCAGACUGUGAAUUGUAUAAAAAAAACUAAAACCUAAUUAGUAAACGCGUCAUUCGAUUUACAAACUAAUUUUAAAUAAAGGGAUAGACUUGUAAAAAUGUUAUAACGUGUAUUUUUAACCUAUAUAUAGUAAGAUAUUUAUAGAAUUUUAGUCGUUUAAUUAUUUCGAACGACUUGUUAUAAAGAAAAUUGGUGCUUAAAGCUUAAACAAAAUAAGUACGGUACUCGUGUGCCGGUGUGUAUUGUCGACGGUUUGGAGCAUUUGACAUAGCAUGCGUUGUUAUGCUCGAGUUUGGCGCGAAAUCAUUUGUACAUUAAAAAUAAAAUUAUUAUAAAAUUAUAAAAUAAUCGUAUCCAUUUUAAACUGUUACCGAACACGCACAAAAAUAACACAAAUCAUUAAUAUUAUUUAAAUAUUAUUAAUCAAAUAUUAUUUGAUAAUUUUCCCGCGUACAAAUCUGACGUACAAGAAAUAUUUUAUAGACGAUUUUGUAUAUUUAUUUAGUUGUUUUAAUGUAACGAUUGUUUUGUUUUAUUUUAAUGACGAGUGAUUCUGCGUUGAAUUGUGAGCAAUUAUAAUAAUGUAGGUAAACUUUGCUCAAUAACGAUGAAAACUGAAAGUGUUACAGUUGAUGCAAUACAAUGAAACAAACAUAUUUGAGUUUUAUUUUAAUCACCUUAUUUUGUUGUUUUAGUUGAAUAUUGCUUGAUUUUAAAUCCUAUGAUCUAUAUAAAUAAUGAAUCGUUGUGUUGCUAAGCGCAAUACUCGAGAUCGCCUGAACGAAUUUCGAU